GACGAACGCUGGCGGCGUGCCUAAUACAUGCAAGUUGAGCGCUGAAGGUUGGUACUUGUACCAACUGGAUGAGCAGCGAACGGGUGAGUAACGCGUGGGGAAUCUGCCUUUGAGCGGGGGACAACAUUUGGAAACGAAUGCUAAUACCACAUAAAAACUUUAAACACAAGUUUUAAGUUUGAAAGAUGCAAUUGCAUCACUCAAAGAUGAUCCCGCGUUGUAUUAGCUAGUUGGUGAGGUAAAGGCUCACCAAGGCGAUGAUACAUAGCCGACCUGAGAGGGUGAUCGGCCACAUUGGGACUGAGACACGGCCCAAACUCCUACGGGAGGCAGCAGUAGGGAAUCUUCGGCAAUGGACGAAAGUCUGACCGAGCAACGCCGCGUGAGUGAAGAAGGUUUUCGGAUCGUAAAACUCUGUUGGUAGAGAAGAACGUUGGUGAGAGUGGAAAGCUCAUCAAGUGACGGUAACUACCCAGAAAGGGACGGCUAACUACGUG
Molecule: ribosomal RNA, 497 nt
Filed under: uncultured bacterium
Lineage: Bacteria
Description: partial 16S ribosomal RNA
Rfam family: Bacterial small subunit ribosomal RNA
Source: RNAcentral